GACGAACGCUGGCGGCGUGCCUAAUACAUGCAAGUUGAGCGCUGAAGGUUGGUACUUGUACCAACUGGAUGAGCAGCGAACGGGUGAGUAACGCGUGGGGAAUCUGCCUUUGAGCGGGGGACAACAUUUGGAAACGAAUGCUAAUACCGCAUAAAAACUUUAAACACAAGUUUUAAGUUUGAAAGAUGCAAUUGCAUCACUCAAAGAUGAUCCCGCGUUGUAUUAGCUAGUUGGUGAGGUAAAGGCUCACCAAGGCGGUGAUGCAUAGCCGACCUGAGAGGGGGAUCGCCCACAUGGGACGGGGAACAGGCCCAAACCUCCUACGGGAGGCGCCAGAAGGGAACCUCCGGCAUUGGCGGAAAGUCGAGCGAAACAAGCCGGGGUGGGUGAGAAGGGUGUCGGGUUCGUAAAACUGGGUUGGUGGGGAGAAACGUGGUUGGAAUGGGAAGGCGCGUAAGUGACGGUAAACGACCAAGAAGGGACGGCUAACUACGUG
Molecule: ribosomal RNA, 496 nt
Filed under: uncultured bacterium
Lineage: Bacteria
Description: partial 16S ribosomal RNA
Rfam family: Bacterial small subunit ribosomal RNA
Source: RNAcentral